Molecule: unclassified non-coding RNA, 246 nt
Filed under: Hevea brasiliensis (rubber tree)
Lineage: Eukaryota; Viridiplantae; Streptophyta; Magnoliopsida; Malpighiales; Euphorbiaceae
Source: RNAcentral
AGCGAAAGGAACUCCUGAAAAAUCUGAAAGGUUUAUCUAAUUGUAUUUUGAUGUUUAUUUUAUUUGAAAUUUCAUACAAGGUAAUGAUGAAUUUUUGAGGUCAAGAUGGGCAAAAUGGUUUAGAGUUACUUAGGUGCUGCAUGUCUAUGGUGGUUGGUUUUUUUUCCCCCUAUCUAGGUUUUGUCAUGAAUCUUUUAUUCAAUAGAAAUUGAUGCAAGUCUUUAUAUACUUGCAGGGAAGCAUUGU